CCGAACAGUUAGACAGAGAAAAAUCCUCCAAGAGCAUCUCGACCUCCAGCGCAUCGCCACCCGCUGCCGCGAGCCGCCGCCCGCCGGCCCCAGCCCCGCCACAGGCUACAGCGCGCCGCCACCGCCUACCCCGCCGGCACUCCUACCCCUACCCCAAGUGCCUCCCACGCUCGCUACGUUCUACCGCCGGCGACACUCGACGCCGCGGCCGUUGCCGGCUCCCACACCCGCGGGCCUUUAUCUCCCCGGCGGCCGCCGCCGCCGCCCUGCUUGUCCAGCGGGCUGGCCCUGUCCAUGGGGCGUAGGGGCUACCCGCGCCCUUCGACGCCCGCACGCGCCUCCUUCUGCCCUUCCGCCGCGGACGAUGCCGACUUCUCUGAGUCUAAUGCGAUCCUGGUGGUGGCCAUGCCCUGCGAGAGUCUGCUGCUGCUCAGCCCAGCGUCUUGCCGUGGCGGGCGCUUGUCGUCGGAGCUCUGGUUGUCGGUUCCAGAGUCGGGUGGUUCCACACAGGGGCGCAUAUCCCGUUGUGCCACCAAUCACUUAAUUCGGCUCUCUUGAGCUGCCCGGCUUCGGCGGCGAAGAUGAUGGCGAUGCCUAGGACAUAACGGCCACAUGGGAUGAAACUAGCAGAGAUGAAGAAGGCGGUGGUCGUUGGGAGGAGAAGAUUGCCCGGAAGCUGGAGGACGUGCACCAGCUGCGGUUGCUGGACAACCGCUACGUUUAGUGGCUGAGGGAAUUGUUGGGCUACGAGAAUCAGUCGCUGAUAAGAGGGCUGAGGCUGAGAAGAUCAAGAGGGAUCAGAGAUUGUGCUCAAUUGUUGGUGGUCAGGACGUCAGUUUGCAGGAGUUAUCUGAAGAAAGGACUCACUAUCUGGUUAAAUGUUCCAUUGGAUGCCCUUGCAAGAAGGAUUGCUGCGGUGGUUCAGCGUCAUUGCCCCUCCUGCAUCAACAAUCUGGUGAUCCAUAUGCAAAGGAGAGUUGAGACUUCUAUCUCAUAAGAUAUUCAAUGGAUAUUAUGUUAAACUAUUCUACCUCGGUGUUUGCCCAGAAGAAACAAACUCAUGUUCAGAAGAGCUAUUUUGUGUACAUGAGUUGCUACUGGCAGUGGACAGAUUGUCUAUGCAGAGUGCGUAGAGAAAAAAAUGCUCACAUACAAACACAAACGACAUCCAGUAGGCGCUUGGAACACCCGACAGAUUGAAAGCACAGAAGCAAAGAUUUCCAAUACGAGGCCACGAUGCCCGACAGAGAUGUAGCCAAUAUGUGCCCAAUCCUUAUUUCUUGAUGUUGGAACAACAAGGCAGAUCCCCUUCCUCUUCCCCACGCACGAGCGGGCGUACCGCCGCCGCCGCCGCCUUCCUCGCGGAGUCUGCGGCCGAAGGAUCGGUUGGGACGCACCGUGUCUAGGUCGGCCUUCGGUGGGGCGCGGUGCGAGCUCUCGGCUCGGGGCAGGAGGCGACUCGAUGACGAGGAGCUGGGGCGCGGCGCUCCUCUCCUGGUGUGGCGCACGAGGGAAGGAGGAGGGGAUCGAUCCAAGACGGGAGCUGAGGCCGGCGGCGCCCUUCACACAAGCCUCACCGGCGGUUCCCUGUACACAAGCCUCACCGGCGAUGCAGCGGGAGAGCUCCGACCCGUCCAUAGGUGCGGGGAUGCAGAUCCGCGUCGCCAGCCUGUACUAGGCCGAGGUUGACGCGCCGGCGCAGGGGUCACCGUCCAUCUUCGCCAGGCCUCCAGAGUACUCCAGCAACAGCCACUGGACGGCAGUUCCUGGAAGAACAAAGAAGUUGCAUGUCCUUUUAGUCUGAAAAUCACAUUGAUCCUUGGAGCAUGAUGGGGACAAAUCGCACAUAUGUCCUGUACUGCACACACGUGAAGGCAAAGGAUUUUUCUGAAUGCCAUUGUUGUCCGGUACACAGUGUUUAUCAGUGAGUAAUUUGCCCCUUUCGCAAUGUGAUGAUACUGGCAAUAAGGGAAGCAUCAUAUACCAUUGGUUUUGCUGAACUAGAAAUAACACAACUACAUAUUGAUUUUCUGCUUAAAUUUCACAAUAGAUAUUUUGCCGGAUGACCCACUGUAUGAGGAUGCCACAUCCUUUCUUGCUCACCCAACACACGGCAUUCCUGUAUGUCGUUGUGUGCUUCUCAGUACAGUAGAGGUACCACACGGGGUGGUGACUGGGAGGCUGGUACAUGCUAGCACGGCCAAACAGCUGGUUCACUGCGAUCAGGGUGCUAGAGGCUCUUGGGGUUGCAGCUCGCUCGCCUGCUGGAGGUACAAUGUUGAUUAUUUAGAGACCUCAUCUUCAUGAGACUAGCAAGGGAUGGACAUUCUGAAGAAGAAGAGAUGAGGUGAGUUUCUGAAGUUCACCGUCCAAUCCAAGUAUUAAAGGUGAGCAUUACUAUUCAAAGGGACAUAAUUAACCUGUUAAAUUAUUCUUAGAGCAAGGAACCAGUUAUUAUCUAACCGAAUAACUGUAAACUAGCUUCUUUUUCUAAAAUGAGGUGUCGUCUUUAAAUAGAUAUGGACCAGAGAGGGGGCUUGAGAAAUGCUAAUUAGGCUAGAGGCGUAUGAUUUUUUUUCUCCCGUUGCAAUGCACGGGCAUGUUUGCUAUAAUAAUAAAGCAUCCAGUGGAGGGGUUUAGAAAAAUAGAAACGGUUCUAUUUGAUAUGUAAUUUAGAAAUUAAUGGCUGGAGGAUCCUAAACUAACAUAUGGCAUUUUGUUUCAAUUUCUCUUUACCUGAUUGUGUUACUUAUGCACAAUCACCAUACUUGACAUAGGUCCCUGCACUUCCGUUGACGAGUAUUUUGUCAGCAUCUCGAUGCGGAGGUACAACUUUAGCUGAUCUUCGUCAUGUUUUACAUUGUUUCUCAGUACUUUUUACUGCAAUGUGGAGGUCAGAUUCUAGCUGAUAUAUCUUCAUGCUUUACCUUGUUUACCAAUGUCCCAAUGUGGACGUAAAGAUUCUAGCUGAUAUAUCUUCAUGUUUUACCUUGUUUACCAAUGUCCCAAAAUUUUGUUUCGUCUUUGCUUUGAAUUAAUUUUCCUUACUUUGACUGAGUAGGACAUUUAUUUGAAAUACUAAAUUGUGGUGUCGCUACCUCUAAGGACCACAGCGUUGUAGCGCCCUUGGCACAAGGUGACCAUCUUCAGCGCAUCGUGGUGUCGCUGCCCACACGAUCUCUACAGACACCACAAAAGGCUACAGGACCGACAAGGCCGGUGGCCUGACCACUGAAUCACGUUGUUGUGCGGGCGCCUUGAUCUUGCAUGCGGCCUUCUAAAGCCCCAGGGGCCAAGCUCGCUGGAGCGUCGCCGACAGGCUCUCUUUUGCACAGGAGAAAAUGGUUGGAUAUAUGUGCCUCCUCCGUCUCUUAUUCCCUGAAAUGUAAUUUGAUGACUCAUUGAUGUCACACUCGCUUAGGAUUAAACUGCACAGGUUAGAUUGACAUUUUGCCCUGUGUUUAAUUACUACAUGCACUGCACGCUGAUCCAUGUAUAUAUUGGCUCCCCUAUAUAUACCUCUAUUGGUGAAAAGUUUUGACUUU
Long non-coding RNA from Triticum aestivum (bread wheat), 3545 nucleotides. RefSeq lists it as uncharacterized. The transcript is spliced from 10 exons. The record is from RefSeq and is a predicted model, not a curated record. NCBI's taxonomy places the organism in Eukaryota, Viridiplantae, Streptophyta, Magnoliopsida, Poales, Poaceae.